UUCUACGUUAUAAGAUGGGUCGGAAAGUUUUUUCGCUAAGAGAUCGGCCUAUAUCCUAUCAGUUAGUUGGUGAGGUAAUGGCUCACCAAGGCAAUGACGGGUAGCGGGUCUGAGAGGAUGAUCCGCCACACUGGUACUGAGACACGGACCAGACUCCUACGGGAGGCAGCAGUGAGGAAUAUUGCACAAUGGGGGAAACCCUGAUGCAGCAACGCCGCGUGGAGGAUGACGCAUUUCGGUGUGUAAACUCCUUUUAUAUGUCAAGAAAAUGACGGUAGCAUAUGAAUAAGCACCGGCUAACUCCGUGCCAGCAGCCGCGGUAAUACGGAGGGUGCAAGCGUUACUCGGAAUCACUGGGCGUAAAGGACGCGUAGGCUGUUUAGCAAGUCAGAUGUGAAAUCCAAUGGCUCAACCAUUGAACUGCAUUUGAAACUGCUAGACUAGAGUAUGGGAGGGGGAG
This 460-nucleotide ribosomal RNA is filed under the name uncultured bacterium. RNAcentral's name for it is "bacterial SSU rRNA". It matches the Rfam family "Bacterial small subunit ribosomal RNA", at positions 180 to 660 of the family's 1533-position model. The record is from RNAcentral.